RNAcentral lists this ribosomal RNA (1030 nucleotides) under Arthrobacter tecti. Its description in RNAcentral is "bacterial SSU rRNA". It matches the Rfam family "Bacterial small subunit ribosomal RNA", at positions 418 to 1458 of the family's 1533-position model. Lineage: Bacteria; Bacillati; Actinomycetota; Actinomycetes; Micrococcales; Micrococcaceae. The record is from RNAcentral.
UCGGGUUGUAAACUCUUUCAGUAGGGAAGAAGCGAAAGUGACGGUACCUGCAGAAGAAGCGCGGGCUAACUACGUGCCAGCAGCCGCGGUAAUACGUAGGGCGCAAGCGUUAUCGGGAAUUAUUGGGCGUAAAGAGCUCGUAGGCGGUUUGUCGCGUCUGCCGUGAAAGUCCGGGGCUUAACUCGGAUCUGCGGUGGGUACGGGCAGACUUGAGUGAUGUAGGGGAGACUGGAAUUCCUGGUGUAGCGGUGAAAUGCGCAGAUAUCAGGAGGAACACCGAUGGCGAAGGCAGGUCUCUGGGCAUUAACUGACGCUGAGGAGCGAAAGCAUGGGGAGCGAACAGGAUUAGAUACCCUGGUAGUCCAUGCCGUAAACGUUGGGCACUAGGUGUGGGGGACAUUCCACGUUUUCCGCGCCGUAGCUAACGCAUUAAGUGCCCCGCCUGGGGAGUACGGCCGCAAGGCUAAAACUCAAAGGAAUUGACGGGGGCCCGCACAAGCGGCGGAGCAUGCGGAUUAAUUCGAUGCAACGCGAAGAACCUUACCAAGGCUUGACAUGAACCGGAACGGCGCAGAGAUGUGUCGGCCACUUGUGGCCGGUUUACAGGUGGUGCAUGGUUGUCGUCAGCUCGUGUCGUGAGAUGUUGGGUUAAGUCCCGCAACGAGCGCAACCCUCGUUCCAUGUUGCCAGCGGGUUAUGCCGGGGACUCAUGGGAGACUGCCGGGGUCAACUCGGAGGAAGGUGGGGACGACGUCAAAUCAUCAUGCCCCUUAUGUCUUGGGCUUCACGCAUGCUACAAUGGCCGGUACAAAGGGUUGCGAUGCUGUGAGGUGGAGCUAAUCCCAAAAAGCCGGUCUCAGUUCGGAUUGAGGUCUGCAACUCGACCUCAUGAAGUCGGAGUCGCUAGUAAUCGCAGAUCAGCAACGCUGCGGUGAAUACGUUCCCGGGCCUUGUACACACCGCCCGUCAAGUCACGAAAGUUGGUAACACCCGAAGCCGGUGGCCUAACCCCUUGUGGGAAGAGCCGUCG